ACAACAUAAACUCAAAAAAUGGCAUUAAAAUCGGAACCAUCUGUGCGUAAAUGACGCAUCGCGCUCCGUGGCCUGGCUCUUUCUUUCAUAGAUGUUGGCAUAUAAAAUAAAUUUGGCCCACAAAACUGAAUAUUAUAAUAUCCGUAUGUCGGCUUAAAGUAGAUCACGCAUCUGAGCACUGAAACAAAUCAUCUGUUCAGCCGCAGCAGCUGCAGCAAGACGGACAGAGGACACGGAGACGUGUCCAGGUCGAGCUGUGCGAGAAAUAAGAGGAAGAAAGAAAAGGAGGGAGACACAUUACAUAUCUUGUUAACUUCAUCAUGUGUGUUUAUUUACUAGAUAUUUAAUUUAAUUUGAUGCAGUUUCAGCUGUAUUGAUUCGGUCAGGUUGUGUGCCCAAACGCGUGCCAAACGCGUGCCAAACGCGCUCAUCAGAUCAGAUAUAGAUCAGAAUAUAUCGAUAUAGAUCUAAAUGUAUGUGCUGACUCAGAUUAAUAGUUGAUGAUGAUUAUUUAUUGCACUGAAAUCUGCCUGACACUGUGGAAACCUGCCGGUGAGGCAUCGGUGACGUAUGUCGAUACGCCGCCGGUCUACCAAAAUACUACUAGACCAGCUGCGUUCCGCCUUGCGCUGAAAGCUGACCAGGUUUGAAUCGGCGAGCUUUCAGCGCACGUUACACGCCGGUGGCGAGCACGAAAAUGUCACUGCACCAGCUGAUUCUGUCAACACCUCCCCCUGCCACGCCACCACGCCCAGCUUGGCGGAUCUCGGCUCGCUUCCGUGCGACUCAGUCCACGAAAAUACCAAACUCGCCUU
Molecule: non-coding RNA, 815 nt
Organism: Xyrichtys novacula (pearly razorfish)
Lineage: Eukaryota; Metazoa; Chordata; Actinopteri; Labriformes; Labridae
Source: the annotation of a GenBank genome assembly